Molecule: transfer RNA, 69 nt
Filed under: Dendropsophus seniculus (Corcovado treefrog)
Lineage: Eukaryota; Metazoa; Chordata; Amphibia; Anura; Hylidae
Description: tRNA-Val
Rfam family: tRNA
About the family: Transfer RNA (tRNA) molecules are approximately 80 nucleotides in length.
Source: RNAcentral
CAAAAUGUAGCUUAACCAAAGCACCUCGCUUACACCGAGAAAAUAUCUGUGAGACUCUGAUCAUUUUGA